CGCGUAGGCGGUUUGAUUAGUUAGGUGUGAAAUUCCUAGGCUUAACCUGGGGGCUGCACUUAAUACAGUCAGACUUGAGUUCGGAAGAGGGUUGUGGAAUUGCCAGUGUAGAGGUGAAAUUCGUAGAUAUUGGCAAGAACACCGGUGGCGAAGGCGGCAACCUGGUCCGAUACUGACGCUGAGGCGCGAAAGCGUGGGGAGCAAACAGGAUUAGAUACCCUGGUAGUCCACGCCGUAAACGAUGUGUGCUGGAUGUUGGGUGACCUAGUCACGCAGUGUCGUAGCUAACGCGGUAAGCACACCGCCUGGGGAGUACGGCCGCAAGGUUGAA
Molecule: ribosomal RNA, 331 nt
Filed under: uncultured bacterium
Lineage: Bacteria
Description: bacterial SSU rRNA
Rfam family: Bacterial small subunit ribosomal RNA
Source: RNAcentral